GAUGAACGCUGGCGGCGUGCUUAACACAUGCAAGUCGAACGGAAAGGCCCUGCUCUUGCUGGGUGCUCGUGUGGCGCACGGGUAAGUAACACGUGAGUAACCCGCCCUUGUCUUUGGGAUAUCUCCAGGAAACUGGGGCUAAUACCGGAUAGGAGCUCUUGAAGCAUGGUGGGGGUUGGAAAGAUUCGGCGGUUUGGGAUGGACUCGCGGGUUACCAGCUUGCUGGUGUGGUAGUGGCAUACCAAGGUUUCGACGGGUAGCCGGCCUGGGAGGGUGACCAGCCACCAUGGGACUGAGGGAGGGCCCAGACGGCUACGGGAGGCAGCAGUGGGGAAUAUUGCACAGUGGGCGGAAGCCUGAGGCAGCGACGCCGCGUUCGGGAUGACGGCCUUCGGGUUGUAAACCGCUUUGGACUGUGACGAAGCGUGAGUGACGGUAAUGGGUAAAAAAGCACCGGCUAACUACGUG
RNAcentral lists this ribosomal RNA (468 nucleotides) under uncultured bacterium. Its description in RNAcentral is "partial 16S ribosomal RNA". It matches the Rfam family "Bacterial small subunit ribosomal RNA", at positions 28 to 507 of the family's 1533-position model. The record is from RNAcentral.